UACGAGUGCCUCAAGCGUUAUCCGGAAUCACUGGGCGUAAAGGGUGUGUAGGUGGUCUUAUUAGUCUCUUGUAAAAUUCUUCGGCUCAACCGGGGUACGCAAGGGAAACGGUAAGACUUGAGGGUGCGAGGGGUGAAUGGAACUCAUGGAGUAGGGGUGAAAUCCGUUGAUAUCAUGGGGAACACCGAAAGCGAAGGCAAUUCACUGGCGCAUUCCUGACACUGAAACACGAAAGCGUGGGUAGCGAAUGGG
This 252-nucleotide ribosomal RNA is filed under the name uncultured bacterium. RNAcentral's name for it is "partial 16S ribosomal RNA". It matches the Rfam family "Bacterial small subunit ribosomal RNA", at positions 524 to 776 of the family's 1533-position model. The record is from RNAcentral.